RNAcentral lists this ribosomal RNA (487 nucleotides) under uncultured bacterium. RNAcentral's name for it is "bacterial SSU rRNA". It matches the Rfam family "Bacterial small subunit ribosomal RNA", at positions 48 to 524 of the family's 1533-position model. The record is from RNAcentral.
CUAACACAUGCAAGUCGAGCGGCAGCGCAAGGGAGUUUACUCCUGAGGCGGCGAGCGGCGGACGGGUGAGUAAUACCUAGGGAUCUGCCCAGUCGAGGGGGAUAACAGUUGGAAACGACUGCUAAUACCGCAUACGCCCUACGGGGGAAAGAAGGGGACCUUCGGGCCUUUCGCGAUUGGAUGAACCUAGGUGGGAUUAGCUAGUUGGUGAGGUAAUGGCUCACCAAGGCGACGAUCCCUAGCUGUUCUGAGAGGAUGAUCAGCCACACUGGGACUGAGACACGGCCCAGACUCCUACGGGAGGCAGCAGUGGGGAAUAUUGGACAAUGGGGGCAACCCUGAUCCAGCCAUGCCGCGUGUGUGAAGAAGGCCUUCGGGUUGUAAAGCACUUUCAGUAGGGAGGAAAGGUAGCGUGUUAAUAGCCCGUUACUGUGACGUUACCUACAGAAGAAGGACCGGCUAACUCCGUGCCAGCAGCCGCGGUAAU